UUAACUCCAAUUUGUAUGGAGUUGGAACGUUUACCUAGGCGUGCCGCUAGGGGCGCUGUUCUAACUGCAUACAAAUGUCAGUUA
Bombyx mori (domestic silkworm) is the source of this 84-nucleotide non-coding RNA. NCBI's taxonomy places the organism in Eukaryota, Metazoa, Arthropoda, Insecta, Lepidoptera, Bombycidae. The record is from Rfam.